UAGGGAAUCUUCGGCAAUGGGGGGAACCCUGACCGAGCAACGCCGCGUGAGUGAAGAAGGUUUUCGGAUCGUAAAGCUCUGUUGUUAAGGAAGAACGAGUGUGAGAAUGGAAAGUUCAUACUGUGACGGUAUCUAACCAGAAAGCCACGGCUAACUACGUGCCAGCAGCCGCGGUAAUACGUAGGUGGCAAGCGUUGUCCGGAUUUAUUGGGCGUAAAGCGAGCGCAGGCGGUCAAUUAAGUCUGAUGUGAAAGCCCCCGGCUCAACCGGGGAGGGUCAUUGGAAACUGGUUGACUUGAGUGCAGAAGAGGAGAGUGGAAUUCCCUGUGUAGCGGUGAAAUGCGUAGAUAUAUGGAGGAACACCAGUGGCGAAGGCGACUCUCUGGUCUGUAACUGACGCUGAGGCUCGAAAGCGUGGGUAGCAAACAGG
RNAcentral lists this ribosomal RNA (430 nucleotides) under Bacteroidota bacterium. RNAcentral's name for it is "Bacteroidetes bacterium partial 16S ribosomal RNA". It matches the Rfam family "Bacterial small subunit ribosomal RNA", at positions 355 to 776 of the family's 1533-position model. The record is from RNAcentral. Lineage: Bacteria; Pseudomonadati; Bacteroidota.